RNAcentral lists this ribosomal RNA (468 nucleotides) under uncultured bacterium. Its description in RNAcentral is "partial 16S ribosomal RNA". It matches the Rfam family "Bacterial small subunit ribosomal RNA", at positions 28 to 507 of the family's 1533-position model. The record is from RNAcentral.
GACGAACGCUGGCGGCGUGCUUAACACAUGCGAGUCGAACGGAAAGGCCCUGCUUUUGUGGGGUGCUCGAGUGGCGAACGGGUGAGUAACACGUGAGUAACCUGCCCUUGACUUUGGGAUAACUUCAGGAAACUGGGGCUAAUACCGGAUAGGAGCUCCUGCUGCAUGGUGGGGGUUGGAAAGUUUCGGCGGUUGGGGAUGGACUCGCGGCUUAUCAGCUUGUUGGUGGGGUAGUGGCUUACCAAGGCUUUGACGGGUAGCCGGCCUGAGAGGGUGACCGGCCACAUUGGGACUGAGAUACGGCCCAGACUCCUACGGGAGGCAGCAGUGGGGAAUAUUGCACAAUGGGCGGAAGCCUGAUGCAGCAACGCCGCGUGCGGGAUGACGGCCUUCGGGUUGUAAACCGCUUUCGCCUGUGACGAAGCGUGAGUGACGGUAAUGGGUGAAGAAGCACCGGCUAACUACGUG